UUAGCUUAUCUGAGAGCUCUUCAUUGAGAAAAAUCCACAGCCGAGUGUUUAUUCGUGGAGCUGCAGGCGAUGUAGGGGGGGAAAACUGCGACCACUUAUUUUAAAUCACUCUUCCGACAAUUACUUCACCACCCAGGGUGAAAACCGCUGCAACAUGGACGGCUUUUAUGAUCAGCAGGUUCCUUUCAUGGUGCCCGAGAGUAAAUGCCACACAGAGGAGGAGAGGAGUCUCGGCGACAGACGGAGGAGGUUCUUAGAAACAGAGCUGGCUCAGGACACAGAGGAGCUUUUUCAGGAUCUGAUCCAGCUCCAGGAAAUAUGGAUUGCAGAAGCUCAGGUUCCUGAUGACGAGCAGUUUGUCCCAGAUUUCCAGUCCAAUAACUUGAUGCUUCACGGACCGCCUGUCAGCAAGGUGAAGCGGGAGCCCAGUCCAUCCAAAGAUUUGUCCCCCUGCGGGACCCCCCAGACUGAUAUGUGCCUUUACAGUUACAGUGCCUGUGAAAACAAACCGGGUCCAGCCAGUGCACCUGCAACACAGUGUAGCUCCAUCCACCCUGCAGGACCUCCACCCUUACGGAGGCAGCUGCAGCCUUCCCCACCUCAGAUGAGCAGCCGAGCUCCAACUUCCAGCCCCUUCCACCGCCAAAACCUCCCACAGGCCAACCAGAACCAGCAGUUCGCGCUGCGGCACGCCCCCAUCGGCUGCACGGCAGCGGCGGCUUUCAACACAGAGCAAAGGUUCCACCGGCAGCUGUCUGAUCCCUGCCUGCCCUUCCUGCCUCCAGAGAAAACCCCGAACCCGCCGUACCACCCCUCCAGCUGCGACGGCCGGCCUCUGUACCAGCGCCACCUGUCGGAUCCAGUCGUCCUCCUCCCUCCCCACGGUUUCAAGCAGGAGCUGGUGGACCCACGCUACCCGGACCCGGGGCCGGCCGGUCCAGGUCUGGCCCCGCCCCAAGCCAACUUCAGCCACGUCAAAAUCAAGCAAGAGCCAAGAGACUUCAGCUUUGAGCCCGAGGUUCAAACCUGCCAGUCGACUUUUGGAAAGUCUCCGGUUCUGUUUCAGAAAAACAAUGCUGGAUUUGGUCCGGACAGAGAGCCUCUUCGGUACUUUGAUGACACCUGUGUUGUACCAGAAAGAUUGGAAGCAGGCAAAGUGAAGCAGGAAGGUUUGCCGUACCAGCGCCGCGGCUCCCUGCAGCUCUGGCAGUUCUUGCUCACGCUGCUGGACAAUCCGGCAAACAGACACCUGAUCGUGUGGACAGGACGCAACAUGGAGUUCAAACUGAUCGAUCCAGAAGAGGUGGCUCGCCUUUGGGGCAUCCAGAAAAAUCGACCAGCCAUGAAUUACGACAAGCUGAGCCGCUCGCUGCGGUACUACUACGAAAAAGGCAUCAUGCAGAAGGUUGCCGGGGAAAGGUACGUCUACAAAUUUGUGUGCAACCCCGACGCGUUGUUCUCCAUGGCAUUCCCGGAAAACCACAGGCCGAGUUUGAAGGCCGACCUGGACGCCAUCUUGCCUCCCAACGAGGAGGACGGCUUCCCCCUGCCCAGCUACGAGGAGGAGGGUCCGUACCUAAUGGACGGAGGGGAGCAGUGCGUCCAGGGACUGGCUUUCCCCGACAGCUACCCGUACUAGCAGCUGGAAGGGAAAAAAACCCCACAAUAUUACUGUAUUUUACAAAACGAGGCGAAGCGUAAAAUUACUGAGCAACUUUUCAGAUAAGAAUUUUUUUAUUUUUUAUUCUUGUCUUGUCGAGAAGUUUUGUUUUUGAAAAAUUUCAAAGCUGGAAAUUGGAGACUGUUAAACUUGCUUCUUCAGCGAAGAAAACAAACUUUAGCUCCCAUUCAGAUGCCUGUGUUCAUGGGCACUUCAAGGAUAAUGGCCUACGCCGGCAUGGGAAAGGUUGUGUUUCUAGAGGAAAAGCCGGUCAUUUUUUAAUUAUGUAUGCACAAAAUAACUGCAAGAAACCUUAACAUUGAAGAGAAAAACGCUGACUACAAGAUGUCCCAACGUUUAAAGACAUGGUUCUAAUUUUAUACAAAAGAAUUGUUUUACCCCAUAAACAAAUAUUCAGUGGCGGUUCUUUAUUACUCACUGGGCCAGCAUGCAUGCAUUCGUUUAGUCAUUGUUUUUUUUUUUUUUGUUUUUUUUUCUCUUUGACUGUCGCAGCACCAAAUUGGUUGAGGGCACAGUGGACUUAAUUUUUUUUUGUUGCUCUUGCCUCUCCCUAAUAGAUUGACACCCUAGAUGGUAAGCCACAUUUAUCAUGUCAAAAACUGCCACUGCUGCUAAGGAGUCUGAACAAGUAAGGUCAGAUUUUGGGAAAGAUCGUUCUUCUAGCAAUUUCUCUUGAUUGACAUAACUGAAGCUGUAACUCUACGGCUAAUGUCUGUAGCAUUUUCUUCUAAAGUGGCAUCUGCACUUAAGCACAGAUAUGCAGUGUUUUGUCCCUCGCAAACCUUGUCAUCAACUUUUUUCUCAGUGUUUCAGUUGCAGCUUUUUCCUUUUUUUUGUUGUUUUCUCAGUCCUUCUUUUUUUUUUUUUUUUUUUCAAUGGUGGUAGUUUUGUAGCAUGGCCACCGCUUUUGUUCUCAAAUUUGUAAACUCUGGGACCUGUUUGGCAGCCAAAAACAAAAACCUUGAAGCCAUGGCACUCCUUUUGCUAAUUUAGUAAGCAUAUUACCCAGACUGCUCGAAAGGGACGCUCUUGUAUUUUCUGGACCAUAUAAUCCAGAAACAUCCAUGUUGAGAAUGUCUUUUUGUGUACAUUUUCUCCCUUGGGUUUUAAAGCUAAUAUUUUUAGCAUUAUAUGGACUUGUAUGUAUUUCCUAUAACAGCUUAUGAUGAAAGUACUGCUUCUAUUUUUUGGAUUCUGUACGACUGCCACUCUUAUGCUUAUGAAAGGCAUGUUUUGUUUUUGUUUUUUUUCUUCGAAACGCCUCACCACUUAAUGUACCGAGAUAGAUUUCUGCAUUUUUGUAUAAUUUGUUUGCUUCAGUGUGUAGAGAAAAAAAAAGUGUAUAAUUAUAUAUGGAUAUAUUUUUGCAAAAGGCUGUAUUUGCUUGCAAAUAUGUUGCAUCAGCUCUUCAAGGAGGAAGAACUCUGAAUCCUUCUGGCAGAAGAUGUUCCUCAUAUAUUUUACUAUAGAUCCUGACGCUGGUGUGACUUUUACCCUCAGAUACUGUAUGUGUGCCUUCUGUUUAUCUUUACUGAUAAAAUAAACUAUUUUACUCUUUUAUUUUUGCCUCAGUGUAGAUAACAAAAAAAACUUUAUGUACAUUUAUUUGUUAUAAAAAUAAUCGCACCACUAAAUUGGUUGAGGGCACAGUGGACUGUGCCACUGGAAUCAAGAUUAAGGUUUACUUAGUCUGAACAAAAACAUCCUGUUAAUACAAAGUUAUUUGAGGCACUUUAACUAACCUUUGAGCCAAAAGAAUCAAGUUAAAACGGUUUUCAGAGAGGAAUUAAAGCAAAUAGUUAUAUUUAAUUUAUAAUAACGCUGUUAUUGUCAAACCACAGCAUUUCCUGUUUACGGUGUUUUAUUUUGAAGGAACUCGCAGGAAAGAGGCGUAUUUAUAAUUUUUACCAGCUUUAUUAUUGGCUGUAAUUACCACUUGCAGCCAGCAGAGGGCAUAAAACCGCCGCUCAAAAUGCUGUGGUAGCCAUAGACUGGCUGUAGCGCAGUUGUUAGGUUGUUACCAGCUUGACAGCAGCGAUUUAAGUGAGUCACCAUUAGGUACAUUAACAGAUAUAUUUAUCCUGGGCUCAUUUCCAUGUUUUUUUGUGCGUGUGAAUAAGAAACAUCUCAGAGUUGAAGACAGCACCGCGGCGACUUAGACGGAAGUUUCUGCUGCAGUGACUCAAUGACGAUGUCGUGACACAUCAACCACACCUCUCCUCUGCCGCCACCUACAGGAUAAAAGCUUAACGCUUCACCACUUCUACACUUCAACCUGGUGACGCAUUGGCCAUACCUCGAAAUUUCUGAAGUGAGGAACUUUUAACAUUUUCAAAGCAAAGUUAAUCUUUUAUGCGAUAUAAAUGAGCAUCUUUCUUUAGUAUAAAUCCAGGGCGAAGACCAAAGACUACUCCUGAGCAUUUUACGUUGAAAAAGCAGGAAAGAGAAUGACAGGACAAAAACUAACAUGUGACAGUGGCGCGGCGCUUCUUUCUCACACAGCUGACUGCUAGUUUAUCAUAUUUAUUUAUUCAUUUUUGGUGAUUAGGUUUUUGCUACAAACGAAACAAAAAAAAACAAAAACAUAAAAAUCAGGACCCUGAAGUUUUCGAGGACCAUGAACUGUUAGCGAAGUGAUAAAUACAAAGUUCCACAUCUGCGGCUGCUUACGCUACUUCCAAUGAGCGAUUCUGUGACUGGAGCCUCUGACUCGGGUGAUAGGAUCCGUCCUACAGACUACAGACGAUGCUGUAUUCACCAUCAUUGCUGCUCUUUUGUUCUCAACCAACUGUGUUGUUUAUUUGACCCUUUGGGAAACAUUUCCAAGUAAUUGUCGUGACAGUACAACACCUCAACCCCUUAUUUCUGGAGGUAUUUCUGAUUCCUCCGUGUACUAAAACGUUUUUCCGGGUUAACAGGUUUUAAGAAAAUACGGAAGACUGAUGUCCCACAGCAUCAGAGAGCUCAGUGACGGUGGUCUCUGGACAUCAGGACAGCACUGGUGUUGGGUCCAAGGAGCCAAUCUUCAGGUGAUCACUGGCAAGAUCGCCAACAAGGACAAGCCGGGCAAGAUCUUCACCACUGCACAUUUACGGCCCCUUUGCCUGCAAACUUCUACAAAUGACCAUCCAGCUACUUGGUGACACAAGAAACUUAUGACAAUAUCCCAGGCCAGAA
Gambusia affinis (western mosquitofish) is the source of this 4858-nucleotide RNA transcript. It is a transcript of the gene named ETS translocation variant 5-like, with no coding region annotated. The transcript is spliced from 17 exons. Lineage: Eukaryota; Metazoa; Chordata; Actinopteri; Cyprinodontiformes; Poeciliidae. The record is from RefSeq and is a predicted model, not a curated record.